Molecule: unclassified non-coding RNA, 520 nt
Filed under: uncultured Glomus
Lineage: Eukaryota; Fungi; Glomeromycota; Glomeromycetes; Glomerales; Glomeraceae
Description: SSU rRNA
Rfam family: Eukaryotic small subunit ribosomal RNA
Source: RNAcentral
AGCAGCCGCGGUAAUUCCAGCUCCAAUAGCGUAUAUUAAAGUUGUUGCAGUUAAAAAGCUCGUAGUUGAAUUUCGGGAUCAAUUAGUCGGUCGUGCCUCUGGUACGUACUGGUUUUAUUGGUUCCUCCCUUCUGACGAAACAUGAUGUCAUUAAUUUGGUGUCGUGGAGAAUCAGGACUGUUACCUUGAAAAAAUUAGAGUGUUUAUAGCAGGCUAACGCUUGAAUACAUUAGCAUGGAAUAAUGAAAUAGGACGUUCGACCCUAUUUUGUUGGUUUCUAGGAUCGACGUAAUGAUUAAUAGGGAUAGUUGGGGGCAUUAGUAUUCAAUUGUCAGAGGUGAAAUUCUUGGAUUUAUUGAAGACUAACUACUGCGAAAGCAUUUGCCAAGGAUGUUUUCAUUAAUCAAGAACGAAAGUUAGGGGAUCGAAGACGAUCAGAUACCGUCGUAGUCUUGACCAUAAACUAUGCCGACUAGGGAUCGGAUGAUGUUAAUUUUUUAAUGACUCAUUCGGCGCCUUA